AGAAAAUUGAAAUAUUGAUAAAUUUAAAAACUAAAUUAAAUCAAUUAAUACUUAAAUUUAUUUAAUUUAUUUGUCAUAUAAUUUACUGCUUAAUUUUUUGAUAGAUCUAAUUAUUUUUUGAAAAAAUUAAUUAAAAAUAAUUUUUUAAAUACUUUUUAAAAUUAUCUUUUCAAAUAAUUUUUAAAAUUAUUUUAAAAAUUAUUGUUUUGUAUUUUAUAAAAGAGAGACUGUAAUGUGGUCGAAAGAAAGAAAGAAAAAAAGAUAUCUUUUCAUUUUAAAAAUUCUAAACUGUAAAAAUUUCUAUUCUGCAUCAGGUGUAGUUGUACUUUACAUACAAAAAAGGUUACAAGUAUGUUAAUUGAUAAAUAUUAUAAGCUAUAUAUAGCAAAUAUUCAUAAUUAUUUGAUUAAAUCUUUCAAAACAACAUUAUAAGAGUUUUUUGGAACCAAAAAAUUGAAACAAGACUAUACCAAAGCGUGCCAGUAAGAGGUCAUGUGUAUUCAUUGGCACGCAAUCGUACCAUGUGUCGGCACAGAAGCGUACUAGUACCGUACCAUGCCAGGCAGACAGCGGCACGCUCCCGUGCCACGACACUUUAAACCUUGGUUUAGUGUAAACGUAUAAGUGCUCUUGUUUGGGACUGGUAGCAUGAGAAGAAGCUACAGGAGGAAUUCCUGAAUUUAUGGCAUAAUAGGGAAUUUUUUUUCUUAUCCAUAUUUUCAUUUUGAGGUAUUUCGCAAAAGUGGUUGCGUAUUUUUGUACGUUGUACGUUGUCUCUGAUCUGUGUUUGUGCUUUUCUGUUUGGUCAUCAAUAUUGAAUAGUGUUCUUACUUCAAUAGUUCAAGAUCCAUAGCUUUGCCUAGUUUUAUGUCACCUAUAUUGUAUGCAAGGAAUCAAGUGCCGCCCGUGCCGUACGGCACGAGGGCAUGCCGUACGGCGUGCCGUACGUGCCCCCAAGAAGCGGGCACGGUACGGGGGGGUCUUGGACCCCGGCCUCUGUCUCGCGGCAGCACAUGCGUGCCGCUCGAGACAAAGCGGCAUGCAGGUGCGCGCUCACUGCAUGUACCGUGCGUAUCGCCUUUUUUUUUUUUUUUCCUUUUUAGCUUUUUUUUGGCUUUUUUUUGGCUUUUUCUUUUUUUCUUUUGUUCUCUGGGGUAUCGAGCCUCCCCUCCCCCCAGGCCACCUAUAUUGCCUUUUUUUUUCACUUUGUUGUCUUUUUUUCAACUUUUUUUUUUGCUUUUUGGCGGAUGCCUUUUUCUUUACUUUUUUUUUAUCAAUAUAGGAGCAAAUUUUUAAUUGAUACCACUAUUAGAAAAUUACGUAUGGUAAAAACGCAGCUUAAAUAGAAAUCAAAAUUUGUCGCGCCGCGAAGCUUUCGGUGAAUCAAGGGAACAAAAAUUGAUCUCCUAAACAAAUUUUGAUCAGAUAUUUUUAUAAAGAAUAUGGAUGUAAUAUCGGAAAUAUAUGACUUUCUCACAAUACCAGCAACACUUAUAUCAACAUUGUCAAAUAAAUCUUGUAUCUGCAGAUGACAAUAUACCAUAUGAUCAAGCGCGACGAUCUAUGUGAAAUUAAGUAGUCAUCUCUAUAUAAAGAUGUAAAUUUAAAUAAUUAUUGUACUUGUUAAUUUUAUUACUGUAUUUUAAUUUUUAUUCUAUAUCAGGUGUAGUUGUACUUUACUUACAAAAAGCUUACAUGCAUGUUAAUUGAUGAGUAUAGUAAGGUAUACAUAGUAAAUAUUCAUAAUUGUUUAUUUAAAGCUUUCAAAAUAACAUUAUAAGAGUUUAUUGGAACCAAAAAAAACUGAAAUAAGUCUGUGCCAAAGCGUGCCAGUAGGAGGUCAUGCGUAUCUAUCGGCACACAAGCGUGCCACGUGUCGGCACGCAAGUGUGCCUGUGCUGUACCGUGCCGAGGACAUAAUGGCACGUUCCCGUGCCACGGCACUUUAAACCUUGAUUGUAUGGCAUAAGACCAUUUCUUUUUUUGCUUAUCUGAGUGCAAAUGCAUAAAGAAAUGUUGACAACAGUUUUAGUGCUUGUAAGUAUAUCCGUACAUGAGUUAUAUGAAUUUAGUAGGUUUGCUGAUUUUCUACUGAUUACGCAUUAUUGGAUUUGUCAGGUCAAAGUAUCGUUAAUAUUUUUCUUCUCUAAUUACUCACAAAAUUGAAUUUAUCCCUGUAACUGCAGUGGUCCCUCAUGACGCUUCUAGACCCAACAAGUAGUCUAGCUAACCUGAUUUAUCUUGGAUACACUGGUGAUCCUGCUGCAGCAUUUCAUAUCACCAGAAAAAGGCGGCAAGAUCGCAAAAGGAAACAGUCGCAAAGAAAUGUUUACCAAUGCUAUGUCUUUGGCCCUAAAAAUGCUGGAAAGUCUGCUUUGUUGAGUUCAUUUAUCGGAAGGUGCAUUAGAUCUUUAUUUAUUUUUUAAUUGAAUAUUUUUGCUAUUAGUUUAUUCUGCUGUAUCUAUAUAUGGUAAUCUCCUAUGUUUCUUGCAAUCUUGUUACUGCACUAUGUUCAGGGCAUUUGUUGAUCAGUAUAACCCAACAACCACCGAGCAAUUCGCAGCAAAUGUUGUUGAGGUUCCAGGGGUAUGAGCAACUAAUAUAUUACAUUCUUGUUUUCUUAUAUUACAAAUGUGAAUUACAAUUGCAUAAGGAGAAUAUUGUAGAUUUGCCAUUUACAUCUAUUUUACAUCUAUUUUCAUUCAAAGAGCAAAAGUAUUUGUUUCAUUUUAAUUGAAUCUCCUACAUUGGUUUUUGUUUGUUUGUAUCUUUUGCCCAGUUUGGUUCAUCUUUGUUUGCUCUUAUCUUUUGCGCAGUUUAUUUCAUCUUUGGAUCAAAAUAAGAGCAACAAAAUCUGAAGGGAAAGAACUAAAAGAAUUUCCUAGUGAGAUCUCUUAAUGAGAUUUGGGAUCUUCAUUUUUAACAAAUGAAUAUAAUUUUGGUAAAUCUUUAGAAGGUGAUACUCCACAUUUGGAGUUAUGGAAUUGAAUCGACUCAAGCCAAAAUGUUUAGGUUGGACACAUUGCAUAUCCAAAAGCUUCAAUUGCAUAGGCGAUUACUAGCCAUAGUUCUUGAAUAGGCCCUGUUCUCCAGCAGUAAUAACCAACAUAGAAGUAACAGUGAGUGAUCCCAACUAUGAUUGUCUAUGUGAGGGCCGAUAGGGCAGUAAUAGUGAGUGAUCCCAACUAUGAUUGUCUUAUGCCUUACCUUAUUAAGCAUUUGAUUUAAAUCAAGUAAUGAUCCAAAAUAACACGGAUAACUCUUUGACUAACCAUUUGUUAUGCAAUGCACAAUUCUUAGUCUAACUGUUUGUUAGGAAGUAGUGCAAUCAUCAUCUUAAUUGCAGUCUCUCUGGAAUAAGUUUAAAAACUGAUGAUUUAUUAUUCCUGGAUGAAUGCUCAGGAUGAUUGCAUUAAUAGAAAACAAUACUUACCCUUCCCAUUGUUUUGUCUUGUCUGUUUACUUUGGUGUUUGACAACUCAACUCAGCAAGUUCCAAUCUUUCAGUGGUUAUCAACAUACUCUGACUGCAUAAUUUUCUAAUGCUUUUUUAUGCUAAGAACAACUACAUUUUUCCUCUCCAUUAUCCUCCUUGACUUUCUUUUUUGAUGCAUCUUAUUGUAGUAUUUUGUAGCAGAAUUCAACAGUCGCUUGAAUGGCAAAUCAAUCUUUACGAUUCUGAGAUAGCUUAUGAAGUUUGUGGUACUAGGAGUGCAUUAAGAAAGCUCUCUUUCAUCACUAUGUGCACAUAAGAGUUACUGUAUCUCCUCUAUCUGAUAACAUGAUUUGGUUUCAAUUUUGAAGGGAAUAAAAAAGACACUUGUUUUGCGAGAGAUACCCGAAAACAACAUCGACGUAUUGUUGUCUAAGGACUCUUUAGCACCAUGUGAUAUAGCAGUAUUUGUUUAUGACAGGUAUUAAUUCCGACUAAUUCCUUCCAUUUAAGUUGUAAUUUCCUUGGAUAUUAAAAUACAUCUUGCUUUAAAUAUAAGGUGUGUUCCCUUGCAAAAUUGUUCAGCUGUUGUAGUAUGCAUUAUUUACAAUGCGCAUGAAAUUUUGUAUGUAGUAUGCAUGCAUAUGUAAUGAUAUCUAUGUAUUUUUGCAAAUGUAUGGGGCGAAGCCCAAAGGAAAAUAAGGAACUCAAUUGGUAUAGUAAAUUGAUCAUUUUCGCCAAAAUAGUAUUUCUAAAGUAAAAAUAUUUUACUAUUGAAACAUUUCAAUAUAAAUAAACAAACUUAAUUUUUCAAUGUAAUUUUAUGAGAUAUACUUUCACAUGCAACCACCAUUUCCCAUCACGGCUGUUAAUUUAGUAGGUUGGGAUACUUCAUAUGGAUAAGGGAAGUUUUUCGUCAAAAGAAUAUCCAAACAAACAACUACCCAACAUGCAUAUAUAUGCUUAAAAGGAUUUUUUUAAUCAAACUAGGGUGGGCAUGUGUCCACCUGGGCCCACCCCCUAGCUCCGUCCAUGCACUGGAGCUUGACUUUUCUCCUGGGUCGCAUGUGCAUCCCUGUGUAUGUUGUUCUUAUACUGUGAGAAUAUACAAGUAAAUGCAUUGCUUAAUUUUUUUCUUUUUCUUUUUUUAAAAGCCUCUUGUAUUUUCUUGAUUUUGAAAUGUUCCACAAGUUACUGUAAUAGGCCUGUUUACAGUACAGUAGAUUAAUAAUGGUCUUACAAUAAUUUCUAAUUUGGGAACAUGUGGCACCUGUUUCUAAUCUGUAAAUUCUUGAUGAGCUGUGGUUCACUAUCUUUCGGGCCUGACUUCUUAGCUAAAGUUCUUUAGGGCGAUGUAGUGUACAAUGAGUAAAAUAUUAAUUGAAUUUCUUUGUUAAGUGUAUGACAUAGACUUAACUAUUUAAAAUUUGCUUUAUGAAGUUUUUUUUUUUACUUGUUAAAUGGCAACUGCUGCUAAAAAAUUCUUGAGAUGUUCUUCACUAUUUUAUAGUCCUGAUAUGCCAGCUAUGGUUUUCGUGUACAAUGAGCAGAAUAUAGAACUAAGUUUCUAUAUUAAGUGCUUAGUGAAUAGUCAAAUAUUUUGUCUACAGCAAGAUGCUUAAGCUAAUUUUAUGCCAUUGAAAAGUAAAUGCAGGUGAAAAAGAAUAGGAAGAAAUCUUUUGAACCGAGAAUUUAUUGCUGUGUUUCAUCUCGUUUUGAACCAUAACAUGUUUUCUGGAGGUUUCUGCAAUCCCUCUAUGCAACAACAAAAUUGACGAUGGCUCAACAACAAAUGCUUUUCUUGUCUUAAUUAAUUCAUGUCAACUACAUAUAUAUCCUCAUAUGUUUCUAAGAAAACAGGAUACUUGUGCCUGCUGUGUAUGUUUCACUUUUGGUGGAUAAGAUAAUUAUCUAAAGUUCUUUAAAAUGCCCAGUUUAUUUGCAAAUAAAAGAAAUUUGUGUACAUCCAAUAAUCAUAAGAUAUUUAUUUGGGUCAAUUAUUUUCAAUCAUAAUGAUGAGCCAUAUGAAUAUGGAGUAAAUUGAUGGGUGACAUUCUUUUUUUUUUUUUUUUUUUUUUUUUUUUUUUUUUUUGUUUUGGUGUGGUGAUGAUUUUUUGAGCUCAAAGAGUUUACUAAUUCAAAAGCUCAUUACUUUGGAACUUAAUCUGCCGGUGAUAACCAUUGUUAUUCAUGUCCUACCGUCAUUUGUGUGAUGCAGUUAUUAAUAUGGUUUAUAUUAGACAUCUGACUAUACAUGGUUUCAUUCUAGGAUGACCAAACUGUGACACUCUUUAGUUCUUUACUAUAUCAAAUUGUGAGACUCUUAGCCUUACUUACAUAUGCACUGGGCAAGAGAUUUCUAAAAGUUCUCCUGAAAUGUAUGAAACAGAUCAGAUUAAAGAACAAUUAUGAACUGAAGCUUUUUAUUUUGACCAUGAGUUCAAGAAGGUAACUGUAUUAUACUUUUCUAAAUGCAGUUUUAUGUUAUGCUUUUCGGAACACUUGGCUUUUAUAUGCUCAGUAAUUUUCUUGCUACUAGUGUGUUAUUUUUGCUUUUCUACAUGUUAAAUUGGCCAGUAUUUUUAAUGUAGAGUAAACAAACAUUAAGCUGUUACUUGUUCCGAAUAUAAUUUUCAUAUCAGCAUACCCAUACAGAUGAAAAUAACUCGGUGCAUGUUGCAACUAACAGUAGAGUUUACAUUUUUGCUAUUAUUAUGGUUAAUGGUAUCAUUGUAGUUGUUAGAUCAAUAUAACUAUCUUAAUAUUGAUUCCGAAAUAGUACUUUCUGAUUUUUCAUGAAUAUGUGGGGGUUAACAUUCUAGUGCAAUGUCUGUCUAUUUUUGCAGCUCCGAUGAGAAUUCAUGGAAAAGGGCAAAAGAGUUGCUUGUGCGGGUGGCAACACAUGGAGAAAACAGUGGCUUUGAAAUUCCGUGCCUUAUCAUAUCUGCUAAGGAUGAUCUUGAACCAUAUCCCUCUGCUAUACAGGAUUCCACUAGAGUAUGUUAUCGUUGGUUUGUUUACAACUGCAUUUUGCCCAGGACAACCUCCGGAGCUUAAAAAAAAUUUCAUUACAUCCUGAUAUGUUAUUAACAGCAACUAUACUAAUUUGAAAAUUUAAUCCAAUUGACAUUUAUUUGGCUGAUAUGUACCCUGUAAGGUGCUUAUCCUAAACUUCAGAUUUUUAAGCUGCUUAUUGAUAGAUGGAUGUGGUCAUGUUGAUUGUUCUUUUGCUAGCUUUUUUUAUUGUCUAUAUAUAUUGCCUUGUGCCAUGUUAGCGAAGCUCUUAUGAUCAGAUGUUGGCUUUUCCAAAAUGAUUUGUAUGGCAUGUUUCCCUGAUUGUUCUAGUUUAUUAAUUAAUAGAUGUUAAUGUAUUUUGUGCUUCAGGUAAGCCAGGAUAUGGGAAUAGAGACACCUAUACCUCUCAGCAUGAAGCUGAGAGAUUUCAACUAUGUGUUUCGUAGAAUAGUUAGUGCUGCUCAACAGCCCCAUUUGAGCAUUCCAGAAACUGAAGCUGGAAAAAACCGCAAGCAAUAUCGACGCCUUGUAAACCAUUCCCUCAUGUUUAUUUCAGGUAUUCUCUUCCCCCACUAGUGAUUUUUUUUUUUUUUUCCCCUUUAUGAGCUCUUUCAUAUAUGUCCCUGCAAAAUCUUUUGUUUACGUAUGUUCCCCUGCUCUUAACUUGGAGAUGCGUUUAGUUCAUGUUGGAAGUUGGUUUGUAUAAAAAAAAGUUCUCUAAAGAGGGGCAUUUCUAUCAUGGUAACACAAGAUGACUUUCAUUGUAACAGUGGGAGCAGCUGCUGCAGUUGUUGGAGUUGCUGCUUACCGGGUUUAUUCGGCAAGAAAGAACACCUCGACUUGAAGAUCUUUGGAGGUCACAGUGGGAGCAGCUGCUGCAGUUGCCAUUGUGAAGGAAGAGUUGUCCUGAACAGCUUUGUACAAAAUAAAUAUGAUUAUUCUGCUGUCCUGUAAACUCCCAUUCUGUAUUAUUUUUUAUCUUUUUGGUUUCCUCUCCUUGUACAUGUUUGCACCCAUCUUCCGUUGAGGUGUAGCAAAGCAUGAUUGCAAUUUUGCAUAUAGGUUUGGAAUUUUCUGAUUAUUUUAAAUUUCCGAACAUGUUUGAACCAAGAUGUGAUGGGAUUAUGUUUGGUUGGUAGGAAGGUAGACGCCGGUGUCCUUACAUAGCUACAGUUGUUGUUUUAUUCUAACUUGUUGCAGUUUGUUCUUCAGAAUGAUUCAAUUUGUUUUCUCACUAUUUGCAUAGUUCGCAAAUGAGUUUUUUGCAGCAGAUCACAAUCUUGUGGAUGAUAUAAGUGUGCUCAGAGUGUUUGUAUUAAUGCUUAUGUUCGAAGAAAUGCAUCCUGUUCCCGCGAUUUGUGUAGUUCACUACUGAGCUUUUGCAGCUGAUCACAAUCUUGUGAAUGAUCAAAGUGUUCUUGGAGAGUGUUUAAUUAUGUUGAAGCUUAUGUUUGACGAAAUACAGAAGAUGUUGGUAGUAGUUGCUGGUGGUAGAGUGCUGCUAGUUCAGUUUUAUCGUACAGCCGAGGUCAAAACCUUCUGGUCUGAAUGUCGUUAUUAUAGAAAUGUUGUUGUUACUAUAGAAAGCCACGCAUGUGUUGUCUCUGUAGUAAAAGUAUUAGUAUGCAUUUGUAUGUGAAAUUAUUGCCUACAUCUGGUGCAUCCGUAAAUCUUAUGCACCACACCCCUAGAUUCUAUUAUAUUAUAGUCUCGGAAUUCAAGAUUAAUGUAUUAGUUAUGAUCUAUUAUAUUAAAAAUACUUUUUGUAUAUCACUAAUUGUUUAGACCGCGCGUUUGGUACUAUUAGAUUUUAUGCUUUCAACUAUCUAAUUAAAACUUUAUUAGACCGGGCAUAUGUAAUUACAUCUGUCUAAUUAAAUUCUAAUUUUAAAGCGCAAACUAGUAAAUAUUCUUUCCAAUAUUAAUACAAAAGGUGCAAGCAGAAACUGCCUAUGUUCAUGCGAAGAUUGGAACAACUUAAUACUUUAUUAUGGGCCCCACCCCAUCUUGGAAACAUCAUGGCCAGCAAAAUGCUGCACCUGGUGAUGGCAUUAGUGCGAGGAUCCUCCCAGCCGCAUUCAUCCAAUCACAUAUUAAUUUGACCUCGACUCUGGCUCACUGAUUGGUAGCUAUUUAUUUGUUUCUACGAAUUAAAGUGAAAUGUUUGGAUUAUAAAAUGUAUACAGAAUGGGACAGUGCGGUGCAUAUCUGAUUAUAAAUAGUGCACCAGUUCCAGGUAAAUUAAGAUGUGUCGGCAUUGCACGGCACAUGCAAAACACAAACAGCAAGUAAUGCAGAGCAACUAAACUGUUGGAGAACGUACUCCGAUCUACAAAUUAAUCAAUUUUCUCUUCUAUCAUUGUCAGCUCAACAAGUUAAUAAUUAAUUCUAACAUAUAUACAGUUCACAGUCAAUAUGUUCUAUUUACAUAAGCUUAUUCCAUGCCACAAAAGCUUUCAAUUUCCCAAGAAAUUAAUCACAAAUUAAUGAUUCAUAUAUAUAUAUAUAUAUAUAUGUGUGUGUGUGUAAUAUCUGAUACAUCCGCAAGACAAACAAUCAAAAUUAAGGAUGCAUGAUCAAAAUUGGUGCGUGUGUGUGUGUAUAUAUAUAUAGUUACAACCAUAGUUAGAUAACUAAAUAAGCUAUGGAUCAGAUAUCCAAAAAGUCGAGGCCAUCGCUAAUCAAGUAGUCGUCGACGCCGAUAUCGAUGGUAGGCAUCUCGGCAAACAGGGAGCCAUCGUGGACCAUGUAGAGGGACUCGUCUAGGUAGCGCGCAUGGUCGGACGACACCGGGGGCUGCUCCGUAGGAACAGAUUGAAGGAACGCCCCAAGAUCCUUCUCCGCUUCACCCUCCGCUCCGACAGCUGCAGAUUGAUCAUCAGGAGUAGUACUACCUUCUACCUGCGCUGCUGCACUAGCAAUUGGUUCAGUGUGUUGCUGCUGCUGCUGUUGCUGUCGGUCGGAGUGCUGGAAGAGCACGCUGCCGUCAUACGUGUGAUGAUCGGAUACGUCCGUAGUAGUGCACUGGGGAAUCUGCGAGGUAGUCCGCAUCUGACCGCCACCGACGUAGGUUGCGACCGCUUCGUAAAGCUCCGGAUAAACCACUGCACCGUGUGGAACGUCAGGCCGAUCUCGAUCGAGAGGGCAAAAGGGUGUACGGUCGCGUGCGGCCAUCAUGCUGUCGUGCCAUGGCACGUCUAGCUGCAUAGAAAUUAGUGGCUGCACCAUCAGCUCGCGCUGAGGAGGCCACAACGGCGUUCCAACAGACCAAGAAGUGGGCGACAGUUGCGGCUGCGACACAUCAGGUACUGAAGAAGCGGGCAGCAGGGGCGGCAGCGCAGGCCAAGGUGGUGGCGACAGCUGGGGUUGAAGCCGAGGACGGCGCUGCUGGGGCAGUUCGGGCUGGGAAGGGCAGAGCUGCAGCGACACCCGCGGCGGAAGGGUAGCCGGCGCCACAGAUUGUUUCGCCUCGGCGCGUCUUGCAGCGGGCGUCUUGUAGAUCUUGCAGAUCACCUGCUCCUUGUCAUCGCAGCCUGCGGCCUCGGCUCCACCGGAGGACGGGAGGAGGCCGUACUCUUCCAUGAGCCAAUCGGUCUUUUGCUUCUUGCUGUCGCGGAACUCAAAAUUCUGAUGGUAUCCGAUCGUGACGACACAGCCCGAGACGUCGAUUUGAAUCACUCUCUUGGCGGCCUGCGUGGACCUCCACUGCCCGAUCCCUGCGCCUCCGGCAUCACGCACCGACCUCUCCUUCCUCCCCCUCUUGAAUCCAUCCCCGCGCCGUGCUUCUUGGUGAUCAUCUCGGCCUCCGCAGCGGGCUCUCUUGCCCUUGACUUUGCACCAGCUGAAGAAGAACCACUCGUGGGGUCCUUGAUUCGUGGGCGGGAAGAGAGCGGUGAGCUGCGCCGGGUGGUGGCCGUAUACGUCGGCUUCUCUGAUGCAGUCGGCGGCAGCAGGAUCCGGCGGCUCCCCACGCACCCUCUUUCUCAGUACGAUUCCCACCAGAACCUCCUCCUUGGGCGCGUACUUGCACCCGGCGGGCAUCGCCAUGGUCGAGUUAAUUCUUCUUCUCUAGCUCGGGAUCAGCCUUGAAGAAGAAGAAGAAGAAGAUCAAAUUGCCGUCCAAAACAACUAAUUCAUUAUCAACAGAGAUUGCAAUGUAGCUCACUCACUCUGCAUUUAUACAAUCGAAGAUCUCAUCUAAAGUAAGUAAGGCUCAUGUUAGUUAAUUAAAGAAUUUAAUCAAGAACCUAAUUAAGAGAGAUCGAUGUAGCGUGUAGAACGAAUCGAAACAGGGAUCAGCCUUGAUGAAUUGAUACAAGCCCACAUCGGAAUUGAUCGAGAAUUAAAUUAUAUAAAAUACGCAUGCAUGAAUCAGAAAACUAAUUAAACCUGCUGAGGCAUGCAAAAACUUAAAGAAACUUACUGUAGAAUGUAGAAUGUAGACUAGAGCUAGCUCCGCGAGAGAGAGAGAGAGAGAGAGAGAGAGAGAGAGAGAGAGAGAGAGAGAGAGAGAGGUGCGCGAUGGCCUUCCGCGGAGGGGCUUCCUUUAAUUAGUCAUCAAAUUCUCUCUCUUGAUCAAGAACCAGAUGAAAUAAAAAUAGCGCCAAGGAAGAAGCAAAACCACACCGUGGGAGAGAGAGAGUGAGAGAGAGAGUGAGAGAGAGAGAGGGAGGGAAUUAACGACGCAACGCAACGCCACGCCCUGUCCUUCAAUAUAUAAUAAUAAUUUUAUUUAAUUAUUCUUUAACCUUUUUUUGAAUUAUUAUAUUUAGUUAAAUUUGAAAUUUAGUUAAAUUUAAUAGUUCUACAAGCUAUUAAUUAUUCUUUUAGCUGGUUUAGUUUUAUUUGCUUAUAAAAUUUGAUUAAAUUUAUUAAGUUUGAUGAAUGUACGAAUAAAUUUGAUAAAAAUUUUAUAGCCAACUGACUAAAAUUUAAAAAUAUUAGAAUUUUUAAAAAUUUUUUACGGUCUAUAUUAGAAAAAUUGAAGUUGAGAGGACCAAGGUCUCCCUAUAUUUUUUUCAACUAACUAAUUUAUAUUAAUGAUAAUUACUAUUUCUUGAUAUCAGAUAUUUAAAAUACCUACCUGAUGUCAUGUGGAAUUAAAAAAGGGCAAUUACUUAUAUGACCCUGAAAAGUUUUCGACUUUCUGAUUUACCCUCUCUUAGAAGACUAAUAUUGAAAAUACCAUUUUUAUGUUCCAACCUGUUUCAAAUAUAUCUCUAGAGUUAAACUCCUUUAAUAAAUUGUUAAUAAUAAUUGUUAUCUGUAUAAAAUUAUUAUUUUUUCCUUGCAAAUAUAUAUACUUUUGUACGACUUUCUUAUUUACCGAUAUACCCUUCUACCAUCACCAGUAUUUCUUAUUUGCCCUUAAAUUAAGAGCAAAAUAGGCAUUUUGAUUUUUUUUUCAACUCUAGUAGAUAUUUAAUUCAUGUUUAAUUCAAGUUAACUUAAUGGAUGGUAACUGUAAGGGUAUUUUAGAAUAACGGAGAAACACAUAUGGGGUAUAUUAGAAAGAAAAAAAAAAAUAGAAUAAAUAAAAUAUUUCAACCAUUUGUUGUUGUCGGCUAGAAGUACCUUCCAAUCCAGAUGACCGAGAAUAAUUCUAUUGCAUAUAGUACUUUCUAAAAGCAGUCCCCAAAAUAAACUAUCCUAGAUAUAGACCAUCACAUAUACAGGAAUUAACUAUAAAAGCAAAAAUACUAGAGCAAGAGAAAUGUAGCUUUUUAGGUUGUUAUUCUUCAAUCUCCUCAACAAAACUAAAUACUCUCAACAGUUGACAUCUGCACUAAAUUUGCGACAAAUUUGCAAAAUAGUUGCCAUAGCACAAAUUAACCACCUGUUACACACACCCUUCAAGUAUGAUAGCGGCACAAAUGAUUGGUGCAAGCAGGCCACUAACCAUUCACAGCAUCAACUACUUUUUUAUUUUCUGAAUAAUAAAGAAACAAACGAAGUUUCUAUCGUAUUUGGUUUUGUCAAACAAACAAUAAAUAUAAUGCUUACAAACAAUCCGGCACUACCACCAAAAUAGGCUCUAAAAAAAAAAAGGUCCACACUAAUGCCCUACAACCUCAAAAAACUUUGAGAUAAAUAAUGCCAAACACAAUCAAUUUUCCAUUCACAACUCGUAGAUAUAGCGAAGGUCCUUUUUUCCACUUUGGUCCGAUACUAAAAUCUUUGUUGAGUUUAUACCACUUUACUAAAACAGAGUAACUGUUAACAAAUAAGAGCGUAUUUAAUAUAACUUGGUUAUACAGAUUGGUUACAUCCCCAGUCCCAAGUCAAAGCAUCCCUUGUUAAGAACAUUGGAUAAAGAAAACUUCUAUUGGUGCUGCUCAUAGCUUUCCUCAUUUCUUAAUAAAUAAGCACUUGGAUGCAUGCACUUGUUGUCACGCCCCGAGACCGCUACCAAUUUGGUCCGAUUCGAGCGCGUCGAACAGACGCCGGACGGACAGAACCUUCCCUGUCCGCCCAAAGCUCAAGCAACGAGAUCCUGUGCAACAAGUCCCCAGGAAAUAACUUGAACAC
RNAcentral lists this long non-coding RNA (12975 nucleotides) under Ananas comosus (pineapple). Its description in RNAcentral is "long non-coding RNA (ACOM_LNC021147)". The record is from RNAcentral. Lineage: Eukaryota; Viridiplantae; Streptophyta; Magnoliopsida; Poales; Bromeliaceae.